AUGAAAGAUCUACAUUUAGGUGGCUUUAAGGUCAUAAGGGAACCCUGUGAAAGUCAGGGACGGCCACGCCGCUGUAAUCCUGCCCUUUUUGAAAAAGGGAAUCCCUUCAGCAAAUGAUUAGCCACUGUCUCUUGAUAAGCUCGGGAUGGGAAGGCUGCUGAAAGGACGGGAGAGUCAGAAAACCUGCUUGAGGCGCUUCACAAUA
This 205-nucleotide non-coding RNA is filed under the name Deltaproteobacteria bacterium. The record is from RNAcentral. Lineage: Bacteria; Pseudomonadati; Myxococcota; Myxococcia.